This is a long non-coding RNA of Lolium perenne, 1137 nucleotides long. RefSeq lists it as uncharacterized. The record is from RefSeq and is a predicted model, not a curated record. NCBI's taxonomy places the organism in Eukaryota, Viridiplantae, Streptophyta, Magnoliopsida, Poales, Poaceae.
CCCACAUGGACAUUUGGAUAGCCACGAGACAUCCUUUCCGCGUCCAUCCCCGGGAGCCCGUUCCACCACUCGCGAGGUGGGGAAGAGAAUCCGCGACGGGAGGCGGCGACGCUGCUGGGAGAGACACUCUCGAUCUCGUCUUCCUCCGGCGACCGGAGGACAGAUCGAACCAGAGCCUUCCCACCAGCGCCACCCCCCCCCCCCGCCCGCCACCUCCCCCCGCCCGCCCCCUCGCCUCCCCACUGGUCGCCUCUCCCCCUCCCCACUGCUCGCCGCCUUCAGGACCUGCCGGAUCCGCUCCGCGCCGCCGCCAACCCAGGCCGGCCGCUGCUGCCCCAACCUCGAGGCGACGACGACGGCCGGCGGUCGGGAUUUACGAAGGUGCGCGCCGGACAGCAACUGCCCCUACCUGACGUGGGAGCCAGCUCCGGUGAUUCUGCUCCAGCUAGCGACAGGGGAGAUCGUGUGCGCUGGUUGCCUGAGCCGACGAGAGGGAGAUGAUGCGACGGAUGUGUGGUCUCCUUAGCCCGAUUCUGCUCCGGCGAGGCGGCUAGGGGAUGGUGCGCGUUGGGGGCGGAGCCAGCGGGUGGGAGAUGGUGCAGACCGCCGUGGAUGCCCACGAGGACGACCUCCACAGCCCCUACUGGGAAGGCGUGAGGGAGGUGGCGGCGGUGGCAUGCAUAGACCUCGACUUGGGAGGUAAGAGGGCCUCCUUCGAGUCGCUCCACCGCCAGCCUCCGUCGGCGACCACCGCCGAACGAGAGGCGGCCGAUGCCAUGCUCUCUGAGGCAAUGGCGCAGCUCCGGGAGUCGCAGGAAGCCCUGCACGCCCUGGGGCCAGCCCCCAGGUGUCGUCUACCUCGCCAACAAUGACGCCACCGCUGACGAGCUCGUCGACCUUAAGAACGAGGAGGCUGAUCUAUUGAUCUACAUAAUUUUGUAACUAACACAUACUUCUCUUCUGCAGUACUAGCAUUUGAAUGUAGAGACUUCAUAGCGAAGGGCAUGAGAGUCGAAAAUCAUAAUGAAACUGUGAAGUUUUGGUUGAGAAUUGCUUGUUGAGAAUUGAAUUUUGCUGGAGAUGUAAAGAUUAUUAUGUUGUCGUGGUUGAAUAUGGUCCCUGUAAUUUCUGUACUAA